GACGAACGCUGGCGGCGUGCUUAACACAUGCAAGUCGAACGGAAAGGCCCUGCUUGUGUGGGGUGCUCGAGUGGCGAACGGGUGAGUAACACGUGAGUAACCUGCCCUUGACUUUGGGAUAACUUCAGGAAACUGGGGCUAAUACCGGAUAGGAUCUCCUGCUGCAUGGUGGGGGUUGGAAAGUUUCGGCGGUCGGGGAUGGACUCGCGGCUUAUCAGCUUGUUGGUGGGGUAGUGGCUUACCAAGGCUUUGACGGGUAGCCGGCCGGAGAGGGUGACCGGCCACAUUGGGACUGAGAUAGGGCGCAGACUCCUACGGGAGGCAGCAGUGGGGAAUAUUGCACAAUGGGCGGAAGCCUGAUGAAGAAACGCCGCGUGCGGAAUGACGGCCUUCGGGUUGUGAACCGCUUUCGCCUGUGACGAAGCGUGAGUGACGGUAAUGGGUAAAGAAGCACCGGCUAACUACGUG
RNAcentral lists this ribosomal RNA (468 nucleotides) under uncultured bacterium. RNAcentral's name for it is "partial 16S ribosomal RNA". It matches the Rfam family "Bacterial small subunit ribosomal RNA", at positions 28 to 507 of the family's 1533-position model. The record is from RNAcentral.